CCUACGGGUAGCAGCAGUGAGGAAUAUUGGUCAAUGGACGAGAGUCUGAACCAGCCAAGUAGCGUGAAGGAUGACUGCCCUCUGGGUUGUAAACUUCUUUUAUAAAGGACUAAAACGAGGCACGUGUGCCUUUUUGCAUGUACUUUAUGCAUAAGGAUCGGCUAACUCCGUGCCAGCAGCCGCGGUAAUACGGAGGAUCCGAGCGUUAUCCGGAUUGAUUGGGUUUAAAGGGAGCGUAGAUGGGUUGUUAAGUCAGUUGUGAAAGUUUGCGGCUCAACCGUAAAAUUGCAAUUGAUACUGGCAGUCUUGAGUACAGGUGAGGUAGGCGGAAUUCGUGGUGUAGCGGUGAAAUGCUUAGAUAUCACGAAGAACCCCGAUUGCGAAGGCAGCUUACUAAACUGCCACUGACAUUGAUGCUCGAAAGUGUGGGUAUCAAACAGGAUUAGAUACCCGGGUAGUC
RNAcentral lists this ribosomal RNA (460 nucleotides) under uncultured bacterium. Its description in RNAcentral is "partial 16S ribosomal RNA". It matches the Rfam family "Bacterial small subunit ribosomal RNA", at positions 338 to 795 of the family's 1533-position model. The record is from RNAcentral.